Molecule: non-coding RNA, 2630 nt
Organism: Phoenix dactylifera (date palm)
Lineage: Eukaryota; Viridiplantae; Streptophyta; Magnoliopsida; Arecales; Arecaceae
Source: RefSeq, a predicted model, not a curated record
UUAAGUCUAAUUUGAUGUUUUUUUGAUUUUUUUUUUGAUGUUUUUUGAUGUUUCGGUGGCAAAAUUAACCGGACGAAACCAUCCAGUUUGUUCUUGUACCGGCUAGUUUCGGCCAGAAUUACUGUGGUUCGGGCCCCGUAAGGGCCGGAACCAUUUUUCAUGCACGAACUGACCUGAUCAGAGACCGGGUCAGCUCGGUUUGGCCCGUACCGCCCCAAAUCGGGCGGUACGGCCUGGUUCGGCAAGCCUUUUAUAUGACUAAUAGAAGCAGCGAUACCACAUUGGGCCAAUUGUUGGUUCAUUGACUGAUAAAAUCAGGAAUUAAGAUGGUUGAAUUUAUAUUCAGUUUUUAGGAUUCUAUUCUUAAACUUGUUGCAGUUUUCAUAUUAACUUUUGGUCUCCCCUCCUUUCUAGUUAGUUUUUGAGUCCUAAUAUGAGGAUGAUUAUUGUCUUAAAUUCCUAUUUUAGGUCUAGCUUGGGUUAGGAAAUAUUUAGAUCCUAAAACUUUUUUUUUCAAGUGAUUUGAAUGGCAUUUCAUCAAGGGCAGAGCUAGGAUUCAUAUUGUUGGGGGGCCAAGUUUCUUAAUGAUAAAUUAUCUAUUCAAUAAUGUGGGCUAUAUGAGUUGCAGAAUUAUUUCAACUUUUCUGUAUCAUGGAAUCAAAUCAUGCAGCAGGAUUUUAAAUGAAGAAUAACAUUUUUAAACUUGACAUUGUAGAAAAUAUUGUAUUUAAAGAGAUUUUGACAUAGCUGUUAGUCUACUAUGAUGUAUCCAAAGACUUGGCAUAGAUCUGAGAACGUCAAAGAAUAAAGGUACAGAGGAGAUAUUUUAUGACAUAAGAUAACAUCACAUGUUCUAAGGAGAUAUUUUAUAAAACGUUUGGAAAAAUUGAAGCAGUUAGCAAGGUAUUUGGGCUCCUUAGUACUUUUAUUGAGAAACUUCGACAAGCAGGAGCAGGGAAAAGCAAUUUCUGUAAUCUAUGGCUAUGAAGUUAGGAAAAAGCUAGAAAGAUGUGCCACACAUGGAGAUAUCAAGUUCUACAUUACUACUUGAGAAAGUAGGUAAGCUGAUUUUUUUGAGGGUUUUAAGCAUAUGGUGGAGAUUCUUGAGAAAGUUUUACUUUUUGAUCUCUUAAAUGCAGUCAGAUAAGAAAAAAAUACAAAAGACAAUAUUUGAUUGAGUUUUAGUGGAGUGGACCUCAGAUUGAGUGCUCAUACUUGGAAGCAGACGAUGUGUAGUGGGACCCAUGAGAUUUCAAGUAAUUACCAUUAAAGAGAGUGCUGUAUAGAUUAAGGAGCUGUUACAAGAAGGCCAUCCCUGGAAUUGCAAUAAGCACCCUCAAAUAGGAGUCUUCGCAGUGGUGGGGUUUCAUUGGUGGGGGUUGAGGGGGUUGGUAUCCUGAUAUAUCAGCAUCUCCUCCAACGAUCUUGUAUAUAUCCCCUUCCCCACUUUUCUACUCUCUUUCACAAUUUUUGACUGUCACAGAAGAAUAGACAGAUCUGUAUAUUCAGAUAUGUCCUGAUGUAUCUCCUCUAUUGAUCUAUAUAUAUCCUGUUUUCCCUUUUUUUUUACACUGUUUCACUCUAUUCUGACUGUCACAGAGUAAGAGUAUUCAGAUCUGUCCAGAUGUCAAAAUAUUUUUCAAUGAGCUAUAUUAUUUGUGGUCCUAAUGCUAAAGGGCUGGAUCACGAACCAGCAAUAUUGAAAAAAUAGCAUUAUGUGUGUUUUGUUUUUUCCCCUUUUUUGUCAUGAUUUUAAUGCAAUCCAUUGUAGAUUUAAUUUUCAGAAUGAAGUCAUUUGGGUUGAAGGGCUUGUAGUACAAGGAAGCAACAUGUGAUAAUUAUCCUUUGGUCCUCAUUGUCUACAUGGCGUCACUAAUUGUUAUUCUUGAACAAUCUGUCUUGAAACCAUUAUUAAGAAUUGUGACUCCACCUUUCUGGUCUUAAUUUUGUGAAUUCUUCUCCACCAUCCGUUCCUGUUAAGCAAGAAAUCUCAGUCAAGGUAGAUGAGAUGGCUAGAGAACUUUGUUCCUUGUGAAGUUCAAUAACCUGUAGGCCAUCAUGACUACUUUUAUGAUAACCACCUAGUUGAUGCUUUUGUUAACCUGAAGUUCUGUUCCAAUAGGAUAGUAGAUUGAAUUAUUGAAAACUUAGUAUCUUCAUAGGAAGGAUGUAAUAUGUGGAAGGGGUUGCUUGAGUUGUUCAGAAAUGCAUGGUCAAUUUAAGUGCUUUUCCAGAGAAAAAAUUAGUAGGAACAUGGUCUCUGGCAGUCUUGUGUCCUCAUAACGUCCAGUUCUGUAACUUGUACAAAAUAGCUGGUCCAAUCACUUUGUAAUAGCUUAUUUCUCAUUGGUACAUUAUGACUACAGGCACAAUUUAGAAGUGCAUAUUCAUUUAGCCAACUCACUCUGGCCUGGCCACAAGACCACAUAUGCCCUAUAGGCUUCAAUAUGAAACAUAAUAAAUUAAUAAUGGACUAUGGUGUUCGAAAACCAGUGAUUAAUUCCAAAGCUUUAUUUUCACAAGCACAUUAUGCAAAUUCUAUAAGCAGGUAAGCAUGCAACAAGAUGAUCGAUGUAUGAACCAUUAUGCGUAAAAAAAAACAAGUGACGAGAAAUAUGAAUGGAAUUCUU